AUGGCUAGACUUGAAGCCAUACGCUUACUGCUGGCCUAUGCAAAUCAUCACAACAUACUUCUUUAUCAAAUGGAUGUGAAGAGCGCCUUCCUCAAUGGCAAGAUUGAAGAAGAAGUGUAUGUUGCACAACCUCCUGGCUUUGAAGAUCCAAAACAUCCUGACAUGGUAUACAAGCUCAACAAGGCACUGUAUGGCCUCAAACAAGCCCCUCGGGCCUGGUAUGACACACUCAAAUACUUCCUGAAGAGCAAAGGCUUCAUACCUGGUUCUCUCGACCCCACUCUCUUCACGAAGACAUAUGAUGGUGAUGUUGGGGAACGUAGUAAUUUCAAAAAAUUUCCUACGCACACGCAAGAUCAUGUGAUGCAUAGCAACGAGGGGGAGAGUAUUGUCUACGUACCCAACGCAGACCGACUGCGGAAGCGAUGA
RNAcentral lists this ribosomal RNA (429 nucleotides) under Triticum aestivum (bread wheat). RNAcentral's name for it is "partial small subunit ribosomal RNA". Lineage: Eukaryota; Viridiplantae; Streptophyta; Magnoliopsida; Poales; Poaceae. The record is from RNAcentral.